UAAUACGGAGGGUGCGAGCGUUGUCCGGAAUCACUGGGCGUAAAGGGCGCGUAGGUGGCUUGGCAAGCGUGCGGUGAAAGCCCGGGGCUCAACCCCGGGUCGGCCGUGCGGACUGCUAUGGCUUGAGCACUGUAGAGGCAGGUAGAAUUCCGGGUGUAGCGGUGGAAUGCGUAGAGAUCCGGAAGAAUACCGGUGGCGAAGGCGGCCUGCUGGGCAGUGGCUGACACUGAGGCGCGACAGCGUGGGGAGCAAACAGGAUUAGAUACCCUGGUAGUCCACGCCGUAAACGAUGGGCACUAGGUGCUUGGGGGAGCGACCCUCUGAGUGCCGUCGCUAACGCAGUAAGUGCCCCGCCUGGGGAGUACGGCCGCAAGGCUG
This 378-nucleotide ribosomal RNA is filed under the name uncultured bacterium. RNAcentral describes it as "bacterial SSU rRNA". It matches the Rfam family "Bacterial small subunit ribosomal RNA", at positions 521 to 896 of the family's 1533-position model. The record is from RNAcentral.